RNAcentral lists this ribosomal RNA (321 nucleotides) under uncultured eukaryote. RNAcentral describes it as "partial 18S ribosomal RNA". It matches the Rfam family "Eukaryotic small subunit ribosomal RNA", at positions 1470 to 1796 of the family's 1831-position model. The record is from RNAcentral.
CCCUUAGAUGUCCUGGGCCGCACGCGCGCUACACUGACAUGUUCAACAAGCCUCCUAGUUCGACAGGAGUUGGGAAAUCUUUGAACGCAUGUCGUGAUAGGGAUAGAUCAUUGCAAUUAUUGAUCUUGAACGAGGAAUUCCUAGUAAACGCGAGUCAUCAGCUCGCAUUGAUUACGUCCCUGCCCUUUGUACACACCGCCCGUCGCACCUACCGAUUGAAUGUUUCGGUGAAGAUUCCGGAUAGGACUUUUUUGAUUUAUUUCAAUUUUGUCUUAAAAGCUAUCUAAACCUCAACAUUUAGAGGAAGGUGAAGUCGUAACA